UGAACCUUAGUGGAGACACUUUGGGCUCUUCGGAGCGUAGGACACAGGUGCUGCAUGGCUGUCGUCAGCUCGUGUCGUGAGAUGUUGGGUUAAGUCCCGCAACGAGCGCAACCUCGCCUUUAGUUGCCAUCAUUUAGUUGGGCACUCUAAAGGGACUGCCAGUGAUAAGCUGGAGGAAGGUGGGGAUGACGUCAAGUCCUCAUGGCCCUUACGGGCUGGGCUACACACGUGCUACAAUGGUGGUGACAGUGGGCAGCGAACACGCGAGUGUAAGCUAAUCUCCAAAAGCCAUCUCAGUUCGGAUUGCACUCUGCAACUCGAGUGCAUGAAGUUGGAAUCGCUAGUAAUCGCGGAUCAGAAUGCCGCGGUGAAUACGUUCCCGGGCCUUGUACACACCGCCCGUCACACCAUGGGAGUUGGUUUUACCCGAAGGCGCUGUGCUAACCGCAAGGAGGCAGGCGACCACGGUAGGGUCAGCGACUGGGGUGAAGUCGUAACAAGGUAAGCGUAGUGCU
RNAcentral lists this ribosomal RNA (515 nucleotides) under uncultured bacterium. RNAcentral describes it as "bacterial SSU rRNA". It matches the Rfam family "Bacterial small subunit ribosomal RNA", at positions 991 to 1509 of the family's 1533-position model. The record is from RNAcentral.